GAAAUGCGAUAAGUAAUGUGAAUUGCAGAAUUCAGUGAAUCAUCGAAUCUUUGAACGCACAUUGCGCCCGGCAGCAAUCUGCCGGGCUUGCCUGUCCGAGCGUCAUUUCUGCCCUCGAGCGCGGUUCGGCCCCUAGCGGGCCGGCCGCCGCCCGGUGUUGGGGCGCUGCGGGCCCUCGUGCCCGCAGGCCCUGAAAUGAAGUGGCGGUCCCGCCGCGGCGCCCCCUGCGUAGUAGUAAAGCACCUCGCAUCGGGUCCCGGCGGAGGCCAGCCGUCGAACCUCUCUUUUGAUGGUUUGACCUCGGAUCAGGUAGGGUUACCCGCUGAACUUAAGC
Molecule: unclassified non-coding RNA, 334 nt
Filed under: plant metagenome
Description: partial contains 5.8S ribosomal RNA, internal transcribed spacer 2, and large subunit ribosomal RNA
Rfam family: 5.8S ribosomal RNA (bases 1-105)
Source: RNAcentral